GUGAAUCAUCGAAUCUUUGAACGCAAAUUGCACUCUCUGGUAUUCCGGAGAGUAUUCCUGUUGAGGGUCAGUUUAAAUCAAAAUCGGUGUGGUUGCUGCCUCUCGUGGUUACGCACCGGGUUUGUGUCGUCUUGCCUUCGGUUAAGUGACCUUUAAAUUUGCAUGAUUUUUUCGAACGUAUUUACAUGGUUUUAUGUACUUUUACGAUAUCGAAUACUAGUUGUGUUCGUCCUCAUGAUUAGCGCCUAUCGUUUUUC
This 257-nucleotide unclassified non-coding RNA is filed under the name Glomus sp. RNAcentral describes it as "partial contains 5.8S ribosomal RNA and internal transcribed spacer 2". The stretch from base 1 to 70 matches the Rfam family "5.8S ribosomal RNA", at positions 84 to 154 of the family's 154-position model. The record is from RNAcentral. Lineage: Eukaryota; Fungi; Glomeromycota; Glomeromycetes; Glomerales; Glomeraceae.